UACGAAGGGGGCUAGCGUUGCUCGGAAUCACUGGGCGUAAAGCGCACGUAGGCGGAUUCUUAAGUCAGGGGUGAAAUCCUGGAGCUCAACUCCAGAACUGCCUUUGAUACUGGGAAUCUCGAGUCCGGGAGAGGUGAGUGGAACUCCGAGUGUAGAGGUGAAAUUCGUAGAUAUUCGCAAGAACACCAGUGGCGAAGGCGGCUCACUGGCCCGGUACUGACGCUGAGGUGCGAAAGCGUGGGGAGCAAACAGG
Molecule: ribosomal RNA, 253 nt
Filed under: uncultured bacterium
Lineage: Bacteria
Description: partial 16S ribosomal RNA
Rfam family: Bacterial small subunit ribosomal RNA
Source: RNAcentral